This 320-nucleotide ribosomal RNA is filed under the name uncultured bacterium. RNAcentral describes it as "bacterial SSU rRNA". It matches the Rfam family "Bacterial small subunit ribosomal RNA", at positions 30 to 334 of the family's 1533-position model. The record is from RNAcentral.
AUUGAACGCUGGCGGCGUGCUUAACACAUGCAAGUCGAACGCGAAAGGGGGCUUCGGCUCCCGAGUAGAGUGGCGCACGGGUGAGUAACGCGUGGAUAAUCUGCCCUCUUGUUCGGGAUAACUGCUGGAAACGGCAGCUAAUACCGGAUAAGCUCCCCCAAUUGUUUGGGGGAGGAAAGGAGGCCUCUUCAUGAAAGCUUCCGCGAGGGGAUGAGUCCGCGUCCCAUUAGCUAGUUGGUGAGGUAACGGCCCACCAAGGCAACGAUGGGUAGCCGGUCUAAGAGGAUGACCGGCCACACUGGAACUGAAACACGGUCCAG